This 730-nucleotide ribosomal RNA is filed under the name bacterium F72. Its description in RNAcentral is "bacterial SSU rRNA". It matches the Rfam family "Bacterial small subunit ribosomal RNA", at positions 771 to 1501 of the family's 1533-position model. The record is from RNAcentral.
AACAGGAUUAGAUACCCUGGUAGUCCACGCCGUAAACGAUGUCGACUUGGAGGUUGUUCCCUUGAGGAGUGGCUUCCGGAGCUAACGCGUUAAGUCGACCGCCUGGGGAGUACGGCCGCAAGGUUAAAACUCAAAUGAAUUGACGGGGGCCCGCACAAGCGGUGGAGCAUGUGGUUUAAUUCGAUGCAACGCGAAGAACCUUACCUACUCAUGACAUCCAGCGAACUUGGCAGAGAUGCCCUGGUGCCUUCGGGAACGCUGAGACAGGUGCUGCAUGGCUGUCGUCAGCUCGUGUUGUGAAAUGUUGGGUUAAGUCCCGCAACGAGCGCAACCCUUAUCCUUUGUUGCCAGCGAUUCGGUCGGGAACUCAAAGGAGACUGCCGGUGAUAAACCGGAGGAAGGUGGGGAUGACGUCAAGUCAUCAUGGCCCUUACGAGUAGGGCUACACACGUGCUACAAUGGCGCAUACAAAGAGAAGCGACCUCGCGAGAGCAAGCGGACCUCAUAAAGUGCGUCGUAGUCCGGAUCGGAGUCUGCAACUCGACUCCGUGAAGUCGGAAUCGCUAGUAAUCGUGGAUCAGAAUGCCACGGUGAAUACGUUCCCGGGCCUUGUACACACCGCCCGUCACACCAUGGGAGUGGGUUGCAAAAGAAGUAGGUAGCUUAACCCUCGGGAGGGCGCUUACCACUUUGUGAUUCAUGACUGGGGUGAAGUCGUAACAAGGUAACC